Molecule: ribosomal RNA, 253 nt
Filed under: uncultured bacterium
Lineage: Bacteria
Description: partial 16S ribosomal RNA
Rfam family: Bacterial small subunit ribosomal RNA
Source: RNAcentral
UACGUAGGGACCGAGCGUUGUCCGGAAUCAUUGGGCGUAAAGAGCGUGUAGGCGGCCACUUAAGUCCUGCGUGAAAUCUUGCGGCUCAACCGCAAGCGGUCGUGGGAAACUGGGUGGCUAGAGUGCGGGAGAGGAGAGUGGAAUUCCUGGUGUAGCGGUGGAAUGCGCAGAUAUCAGGAAGAACACCCGUGGCGAAGGCGGCUCUCUGGAACGCAACUGACGCUGAGACGCGAAAGCGUGGGGCGCAAACGGG